GCGGAAGUGGUGAAAUUGGUAUACACGCUAUCUUGAGGGGGUAGUGCUCGUAAGGGCAUGCGGGUUCAAGUCCCGCCUUCCGCA
Molecule: transfer RNA, 84 nt
Filed under: Ignavibacteriales bacterium
Lineage: Bacteria; Pseudomonadati; Ignavibacteriota; Ignavibacteria; Ignavibacteriales
Also listed under: 2 other names
Description: tRNA-Leu
Rfam family: tRNA
About the family: Transfer RNA (tRNA) molecules are approximately 80 nucleotides in length. Their secondary structure includes four short double-helical elements and three loops (D, anti-codon, and T loops).
Source: RNAcentral